UACGUAGGUGGCAAGCGUUGUCCGGAUUUACUGGGUGUAAAGGGCGUGUAGGCGGAGCUGCAAGUCAGAUGUGAAAUCCCGGGGCUCAACCCCGGAACUGCAUUUGAAACUGUAGCCCUUGAGUAUCGGAGAGGCAGGCGGAAUUCCCAGUGUAGCGGUGAAAUGCGUAGAUAUUAGGAGGAACACCAGUGGCGAAGGCGGCCUGCUGGACGACAACUGACGCUGAGGCGCGAAAGCGUGGGGAGCAAACAGG
This 253-nucleotide ribosomal RNA is filed under the name uncultured bacterium. RNAcentral's name for it is "partial 16S ribosomal RNA". It matches the Rfam family "Bacterial small subunit ribosomal RNA", at positions 524 to 776 of the family's 1533-position model. The record is from RNAcentral.